AAAUUCUGCCCUAUGAAUAUUUAAAUGGCUGCAGUAUUUUAACUGUACAAAGGUAGCAUAAUAAUUAGUUUUUUAAUUGAGGACUGGAAUGAAAGAUUUAAUGAGAAAUUUAUUUUAUUACUGUUAAUUUUUAAAUUUUAUUUUUAGGUAAAAAAGCUUAAUUUCUAUUUUGGGACGAAAAGACCCUAUAGAACUUUAUUUAAGCUAUUUUUAUUAUAAUAAUUUGCAAUGUAAUUAUAAUAGUUUAGGUUUUGUUGGGGUGACAAAUAAAAUAAUCUUUAUUUUUUUAUUUCAUUAAUUUAUGAUUGUUUUGAUUUAAAUUUUAAUUAUAAGAUUAAGUUACCUUAGGGAUAACAGCGUAAUUUUUAUGGGGAGUUCAUAUCUAUAUAAAAGUUUGCGACCUCGAUGUUGAAUUAAGAUUAAUUAAUGAUGAAGUAUUUGUUUAUAUUAAGUCUGUUCGACUUUUAAAUUCUU
This 474-nucleotide ribosomal RNA is filed under the name Eurhadina rutilans. RNAcentral describes it as "partial 16S ribosomal RNA". The stretch from base 350 to 474 matches the Rfam family "Bacterial large subunit ribosomal RNA", at positions 2473 to 2597 of the family's 2925-position model. The record is from RNAcentral. Lineage: Eukaryota; Metazoa; Arthropoda; Insecta; Hemiptera; Cicadellidae.